RNAcentral lists this ribosomal RNA (429 nucleotides) under Gemmatimonadota bacterium. RNAcentral's name for it is "Gemmatimonadetes bacterium partial 16S ribosomal RNA". It matches the Rfam family "Bacterial small subunit ribosomal RNA", at positions 355 to 776 of the family's 1533-position model. Lineage: Bacteria; Pseudomonadati; Gemmatimonadota. The record is from RNAcentral.
UAGGGAAUCUUCGGCAAUGGACGAAAGUCUGACCGAGCAACGCCGCGUGAGUGAAGAAGGUUUUCGGAUCUUAAAACUCUGUUGUUAGAGAAGAACAAGGACGUUAGUAACUGAACGUCCCCUGACGGUAUCUAACCAGAAAGCCACGGCUAACUACGUGCCAGCAGCCGCGGUAAUACGUAGGUGGCAAGCGUUGUCCGGAUUUAUUGGGCGUAAAGCGAGCGCAGGCGGUUUCUUAAGUCUGAUGUGAAAGCCCCCGGCUCAACCGGGGAGGGUCAUUGGAAACUGGGAGGCUUGAGUGCAGAAGAGGAGAGUGGAAUUCCAUGUGUAGCGGUGAAAUGCGUAGAUAUAUGGAGGAACACCAGGGGCGAAGGCGGCUCUCUGGUCUGUAACUGACGCUGAGGCUCGAAAGCGUGGGGAGCAAACAGG